Long non-coding RNA from Heterocephalus glaber (naked mole-rat), 450 nucleotides. The record is from Ensembl. NCBI's taxonomy places the organism in Eukaryota, Metazoa, Chordata, Mammalia, Rodentia, Bathyergidae.
GGGGGCGCGCGGAGAGCUGCCGGAGCAGAGCGGAGCGCAGGCAUCUUCCGCAAUCCAUUCAUGCACUGAAGCGCGUGCAGAGCUGCUGCUCGCUGCCAUUGUUACUCGCGGGCGGUGUGGGAGCCGAGCCUCCACUCUGGCGAGAUAAAUGGCCUCUGACAGCCCCUCCUCGCCAAGAGAGCUCCUCGGAUUUCACAGCGCAGCGGCUCUCAGGUCUGUGCCUCGCUCGCUUCCCGUUAGUGGCCUGAGGUCUUCAUUGGAAACUCAAGAGACCAGAUGAAUGCAGGAGCCUGGCUUCCUCAUACUCAGCGUAUAAGUGGCAGAGGAUUCUCAAUUCUCUGGCACAGUUUCCACACACUUGGAGCUCCUCUGUCACCUUGUGAUACAGCCAGGGGACCCUCACCAGGACACCAGCACCAUGUUGUUCGGACCUUCCUACCACCAGGAUUG